AUUUAGAGAAAAAAAAUCAAAUCUCUUUAUCACCAACUGAAAUGGAGAUAUAUAUACUGGUGUCAAUCACUGCAGACAGUUGAAUUUCUACCCCAGCCAACCCAGGCUUUUUUCACACCUUGGCAACUUUGUGUUUCAGCACCUCAUGUCACCCCUUCCGAGGAAGCUUAUCCUUCUGUUCCAGGAUGGAUUCCCUGAUGAGACUUCAUCUGACAUCGUUCUACUUAUACUCAGUUGAGUUUUAUUUACAAAUUAACUCCACUUCUUACUCCUUCCUAAGUAUAGGCAAAAUAUUCUCUAAUUGCUUCAUCUAUAGCUCUAAUUUCUUUCAAGUCAGUGAAUUUUCCAAAGAGUGGGAACAUCUUAUUCUUUUAUAAUAGCCAUACCACUAGCACAGUACCAGGAACAGAAGGAAUGAAAUCUGCAUUUAAAUGUGGUAAAAGAGGGAGGCACAGGUGUGGUUUGAUGAGAUCACAGGAAAUGGAUCUAUAGAACUGCUGUGGAUCCUCUUCAAGUUUCUUCAUUUAUAAACAGGGAAUGAAGUAUCUCCUUGGAAAUUUAUGGUUAGGAUCAAAUAAAUUAAUAUAUGCCAAGUGCCUAGCACAAAGCAGGCUUAGGCUAUAUUUAUUCUUUUCUCCUUCCUAAUAGAAAGCAAUGUGCUUCAUGUUCUAAUAGAAUGUUAACCCUUAGGUUAAUGUUAAUCCUUAGUCUGGAGUCCAGAAUAAACUUGAGACUCUGUUUGCCCAUAUCCAUGUGAAUUGUUCUAAAAGUGUUUUUUUGUUGUUGUUGUUUUGUUUUUGUUUUUGUUUUUUAAUGUGGACUCACUAUGUUGUCCAGCCUGGCCUCAAACUCUUAGGCUCAAGGGAUCCUCUUGCCUCAGCCUCUGGAGUAGUUAGAACCAUUGAACCAUGCCCAGCUUGAGAAAUAUUUAUCCUAAUUCAUCCUUGAUGUGUAAGGGUAAUUGAGACAUGCUCACAUUUGUAAGGGCCUUUGUGAAAAUGUAGGGAGAAUCUGGUUACAGUCAAUCAGAAAAAGGAAGUCCCUUUGAGCACAGGAUUUAGCAGAAGCUAAAGACACCAAGCAGAAAGCAGGUCAAGUGGACUCUGCAAAAAUUCAAGUUCAGUGCUCUUCCCUAGUGCGACUCUAGUUCUUGUCCUGCCAGGCUCAACUCUAGAAAUCUCUGACUUGCCUUGUCCUAUUGCAUCUCUCUGAAUCUGGCUAUGCCCUUGGUCUGACUUAAAUUAGCACAAUGGGCCUUUCUCAUCAUUAUGAGGAUUCAGCAAUUAAUGAUGUGGACCUCCAUGGCAGCAAAAGGAAAUCAGCUUUGAUUCUUCCUUUCACCAAAUUUGAAACAAUAAAAUUUUAUUUGAUGGCAAGGAGGUACAAAAGCAAGUCAAGGUCCAUACCUGUUCUGAUUUAGCAUCUAGGUGUGUGUGUGAGAGAAAGACAGAGACACACAGAGACAGAGGCAAGAUGCAGAGACACAGAGAAAGGGGACAUAAAGAUUGUUGUUCAGUAGUUUUUAGAAGCCUGGGCAGAGUUCUGUUUACAUUUACCAUGAUACCGUUUGGAUGGUUAAAGGCCCAUGGUUAAAGGCUAGUUGCCCAAGUUGGCACUGUUGGACUUUUAGGAGGCAGAGCCUAGUGGGAGGUCAUUAAAACCAUGCCUCCAAGAGGGAGCCUGGCCAGUCCUCUUUCCCUUUUGCUUCCUGGUUGAUGAGAUGACCAGUUUUGCUCUGCUGCCUUCUCCCACUGUGAUGUGCGACCCCAUAGCAAGCCCCCAACAAUGGGGCCAAUCAAUCAUGAAUGGGAAUCUCCCAAACUGUGAGCCAGAAUAAACCUUUUCUCUUGUAAGUUAACUAGCUCAGGUAUUUCCUUAGAGUGACAGAAAAUUGGCUACGACACACAACCUUUCCAUUUCUGUCAUGCGUGACCCACCCUCAUCAACAGAUAAGGACACCAAAGACCAGAAAGAGCCUCUAUGUUUUGCUCAAAGGCACACGCCAAAAUGCUCAUUUGUGUCCUCAGUCCAGCUCUAGUCGUCUUGCCCUCAAGGGCCUUCCUCUGCAUCCUGCCUUUGUAAGGAUGGGAAGAAAAUAAAAAAUGAAAUUCUAAACAGCAAGGGAAGAGCAUGAGAGAAUGGAGUGGAGCAGGAACAGGAGAAGAGGCUCUCAGAAACGACAGCAGAGGGGUGGCCAGCCCCUGAGGGAUAAUGGGGUUAAAGAGCACCGAGCUGGAACUUACUGCAAAUAAUAGAUCAGUGGACAGAGGUUUAUACCCAGAAUACCACAUAUUUAUACCCAGGAUAUAGAAAGAACUCAGAAAACCUAAUACCAAGAUGAAUAACCCUCAAUAAAUGGGCAAACGAACUGGACAGACCCUUCUCAAAAAAAAAAAAAGAAGUAUAAACAGCCAAUAGUUAUAAGAAAACAUAUUCCACACUUUUAGCCAUCAAGGAAAUGCAAAUCAGAAUUACACUGAAAUUCCAUCUCACCUCAAUCGGAAUGGCUAUUAUCAAGAAUACAAAAAUCUAGCCAGGUGUGGUGGUGCACGCCUAUAAUAACCAGCGGCUUGGGAGGCUGAGGCAGG
RNAcentral lists this long non-coding RNA (2588 nucleotides) under Marmota monax (woodchuck). The record is from RNAcentral. Lineage: Eukaryota; Metazoa; Chordata; Mammalia; Rodentia; Sciuridae.